Molecule: ribosomal RNA, 915 nt
Filed under: Potaspora sp. MMM-2017a
Lineage: Eukaryota; Fungi; Microsporidia
Description: SSU rRNA
Rfam family: Microsporidia small subunit ribosomal RNA
Source: RNAcentral
UGACGGGAUGCUAGUCUCAUAGAUUUAGCCAUGCAUGUGUAAGCGAAGCGAAUGCGGAGCGGCGGACGGCUCAGUAACAGGCGAGUAUUUGAUCUCCACAAGCGGACGACCUCAGGAAACGGAGGGGAAAACGCGGUAAGAGGAUGGGGAAGACCAUGCGAUGAUAACGUUAGUGUGGUGGAGAGUAAGAAGUCAGCCCAUCAGUUAAUAUGUAGGGUAAGGGCCUACUUAGACGAAGACGGGUACGGGGGAUUAGGGUUUGAUUCCGGAGAGGGAGCCUGAGAGACGGCUACCAGGUCUAAGGAGCGCAGCAGGCACGAAAAUUACCGAAGCCCGCAGAGGGGCGGUAGUGAAGAGACGUGAAGACAAGGACUUGUAAAGAGAGUCUGGGUAACUGGAGGGCAAGUCUGGUGCCAGCAGCAGCGGUAAUACCAGCUCCAGAAGUGUCUAUGAUGAUUGCUGCGAUUAAAAGGUCCGUAGUCGAACAACAAGGCCUGUCUGUAAAGGGGUAUAUCAAGUAUUGAAAAGGAUGGGAAGAGUUGUGAGAGAAGAGCGGCUGGGGGCUAGAUUAUUGUGGAGCGAGAGGUGAAAUUUGAUGACCUUCACAGGAGUAGCAGAGGCGAAAGCGCUAGUCAGGGGCGAAUCUGAUGAUCAAGGACGUAGGCCGGGGGAUCGAAAACGAUUAGAUACCGUAGUAGUCCCGGCAGUCAACGAUGCCGACACAGUUGGACAGUGAUGUGUGACUGAAGAGAAAUCUAGUAGGGCUAUGGGGAGAGUACGCGCGCAAGCAUAAAAUUUAAAGGAAAUUGACGGAAGAGCACCACAAGGAGUGGAGUGUGCGGCUUAAUUUGACUCAACGCGGGACAACUUACCAUUGCCGAUGGCCGGGAGAGUGUUGUACACGAUAGCGAGAGA